AUUUAGCUGUGUAAGGGAUUUAUCAUUGCCACUUGUCACGAUAGGGUUUUGCCACGUUUAUUUUUUUUUUAAAAAAAAUAUUUUUAAUUGUUUGAUUUGACGGUUAUGUGUUCUGAUCAAAAAGUAUUGUAUUUAUGUAUUUUUCUUUUAUUUUUUUUUUAUUAUUUUCGAAUCUAAAUUUUGUAAUUGGUAAUCUCUCUCAUCUCAACUGUUCAUCUUCUUCCCCAUUUUCAGUUUUGUUAUACGGUUGUAGUAGUGGGUGGUUUUUUCAUUUUAAAAAAUUUCAAAUCUCAUACCACUAUCUUAAACUUCCCUCUCAUUUUCCCUCCCAUUUUUAUUAUUUUUGUCUAUAAAUACCUUCAUAGUUCUUGAUAAUGGCCGUUACUCGUUCAUCACCAUCUCCGGCCAAAGUUACAAAACCCACAAAACAAUCGCAGAAAACCAGACCCAAAUCAAAAAUGGGUAAAAAAAAUCUGAAAGAGAACCCUCCUAGCCCCACUUCCCCUUCUGUUAAAAGAAAAACCAUUGCUGGACCUUCGAAGAACACUCGAGGAAAAAGACCUCGAACUGUUGUUGAAAAUUCAGACUCAUAUUUUGAGUUGGAUUCUGAAUUUCUUAAGUCGCCUGUUUCUGUUAAGGUAUUUUACUAUUUAUCUGUUGUUGUUUUUGAGGUUUUUUGUUUUUUUUGUUAAAUUCGAUUUUUCAAGUUCAUAUAUCUGGGUAUUUGUUUGUUUUUGUCUCUGUAUUUGUAAUGGUUUUAUAUAUUUUGUUUGAUUUAUUUAUGUGUUUUUGUUAAUUUUUUAUUUGUUGUUUUGUUGGUGUUGUUUUGUUUAAUUUUAGGGCAAGGGUAAAUCCCCUGUAAAGGUGUUGCCAUCAUCAGGUGUGGCUGAGGAAAUUCCUGUUAAUAGGAUUGUUGAGGUUUGUCAUGUUAUGCAUUCUGUUCCAUGUUUUUUUUAUUGUUUUUUUGUUGUUAUUUUCGUAGUGUUUUAUGGUGUUUUAUCAGUGUUUUUAUUUUCGUAGAAUUUUAACUGAAAGCCAAUUGGAAAUUUUUUCAAAAUCUGUGUUUGGUUAUUUUCUUCGGAUUCCAGAGUACAUAAUUCAUUACCAAUUGCUUCAUUGCUUCAUUUUUCCAAAAUAUUUUAUAAUAAUAAUAAUAAAAUAAGAAAUAAUGGGUAGUUGUGUCUCCCCACAUCAAAAUUUAAAUUUUUUUGUUUUAUUAAAAUGAUUGAUUUGGAUGUGAGAUGUGACAACUCUCACACACACUACUCAAUAAAGCUAACCCUCUCAUCAACUUUAUCUAUUUAUUUAUAUUUUCCACUCUAAACAAAAACCAAAACCAUGUUACAAUUCUUUUUCACCUUUCUCUGCAAUCCCUUUGACUCUCUACAUCCCUCCCCCAAGAAACCUCAACCUCUUUGUUGAAACCAUGGAAGAUGCUCUCAGAGAGUCCAAACCUUACACUGAUAGACUCUUCUCUAGAGCUCGCCGUGUAUGGUCAUGGAUCUUAUCUUGGGUUCUUUGUGGACCAAGAAGAAGAACAAGAUUUUAUGGUUUUUCCCCGGUGUUUUCAUGAUUCUGGUGUUGAUUUGUCCGUCCCCAACCACGAAGGAAGUGCCGUUUGUGCUAUGUUACUGUUAACAGUAUAAAAGUAAAUAUUUUAGGUCUGGACAGUAUAAAAGAAAAAAAAAAAGGCUUGGACAGUAAAAAAGAAAUAAUUGCC
Cannabis sativa is the source of this 1720-nucleotide long non-coding RNA. RefSeq lists it as uncharacterized. The transcript has 2 exons. NCBI's taxonomy places the organism in Eukaryota, Viridiplantae, Streptophyta, Magnoliopsida, Rosales, Cannabaceae. The record is from RefSeq and is a predicted model, not a curated record.